GUGCUCGCUUUGGCAGCACAUAUACUAAA
This 29-nucleotide small nuclear RNA is filed under the name Cervus elaphus hippelaphus. The record is from RNAcentral. Lineage: Eukaryota; Metazoa; Chordata; Mammalia; Artiodactyla; Cervidae.